UGCAGUCGAGCGGUAGCACAGAGGAGCUUGCUCCUUGGGUGACGAGCGGCGGACGGGUGAGUAAUGUCUGGGAAACUGCCUGAUGGAGGGGGAUAACUACUGGAAACGGUAGCUAAUACCGCAUAACCUCGCAAGAGCAAAGAGGGGGACCUUAGGGCCUCUCGCCAUCAGAUGUGCCCAGAUGGGAUUAGCUAGUAGGUGAGGUAAUGGCUCACCUAGGCGACGAUCCCUAGCUGGUCUGAGAGGAUGACCAGCCACACUGGAACUGAGACACGGUCCAGACUCCUACGGGAGGCAGCAGUGGGGAAUAUUGCACAAUGGGCGCAAGCCUGAUGCAGCCAUGCCGCGUGUGUGAAGAAGGCCUUCGGGUUGUAAAGCACUUUCAGCGAGGAGGAAGGCGGUAAGGUUAAUAACCUUAUCGAUUGACGUUACUCGCAGAAGAAGCACCGGCUAACUCCGUGCCAGCAGCCGCGGUAAUACGGAGGGUGCAAGCGUUAAUCGGAAUGACUGGGCGUAAAGCGCACGCAGGCGGUCUGUUAAGUUGGAUGUGAAAUCCCCGGGCUUAACCUGGGAACUGCAUUCAAAACUGACAGGCUAGAGUCUUGUAGAGGGGGGUAGAAUUCCAGGUGUAGCGGUGAAAUGCGUAU
Molecule: ribosomal RNA, 647 nt
Filed under: Pectobacterium carotovorum subsp. carotovorum
Lineage: Bacteria; Pseudomonadati; Pseudomonadota; Gammaproteobacteria; Enterobacterales; Pectobacteriaceae
Description: bacterial SSU rRNA
Rfam family: Bacterial small subunit ribosomal RNA
Source: RNAcentral